AAAUAAAGACAAAUGUUCAUUUGAGGUGAACUGCAUUACAGAAAUGCCACCCUGCGGCAAAGCACAAAAAUCACCAGGAUAUGGGGUUGGGGUGAAGGAAGAAAGUGAACACGCUCAGAGUCCCUCAAGGUGCUAACUGAACAUGAGUCUUUUCCAGGGCAGCACCUGGAGACUCCGUAUCCAGUGUUUGUGACACGCUGUUGCCCAUGGCUGCCUUCCAGCAGUGCUUCUUCAGGGAUCCGAGCAUGUAGAACAGGAGCUGGAACAACCGCCCGGAAUCUUCAGCCACGCGCCGCCUGAAACUUUGAUGGUGACACGAGGAACGAGUCGUCCAGAUGUGAACAGGGAAUACCUCCGUGAUACGGACAGCAAUCCCACCUCCUAUGACAAGUUUCAUACCAUCUGCUUCCUUUCCCCUGUUAAUAAGUUUUCCCAGCCAGCUGAGUGCCCAAUCAAUUAUUUAGUGCGGCGGGGCCGCUGUCAGAUCCACAUCCGUGCUUCCAUGUCCAUCUCCAUCUCAUCGAGAUGCAGCACUGAAGUGCUCGCAAAGAACUUUCAAGGAUGAUUUUCACACUGUUACAUUACAAAAUUGAACAUAUUGGAAUCCACCAAAGUGAUUUAAACCAAAUGGAGCCAAAAUAUUAUUGAUAUACAAAUUACAGCAUGUGCUGGUUAUUUCUUUCAAUGUCUAUGAAUUGUUGUAAAUUCUGAGGAAAUAUGGUACAUGGUAAAGUAUUGCCUAGCAAUUCAGUGAUCGAUAUAGAUUAAAUGUACAUGUAAACAACAAAAAUAAAAAAUUUCUCUUACAGUCUCUCA
Molecule: long non-coding RNA, 816 nt
Organism: Cyprinus carpio (common carp)
Lineage: Eukaryota; Metazoa; Chordata; Actinopteri; Cypriniformes; Cyprinidae
Source: Ensembl